CUUUUGCGGCACGUUCUCCACUCUGAAAACACAUUGAACAGCUUCUUUAAAAGACACUGCAGUAGAACUUCUAAGAGAGAUUUUUCAAGAAAAAAACACUUCUCUUCGAUCCUUCACUUAUUUCCUUUCAAUUUCUAAAGAGCACAUACUUGUUCAUCAGUUCGGGGAUCCUUCGCUGCACACGACUGAUCUGACGGGUUGACGUAUCUUGGGAGAGGAACGCAUUAAAGUUCUCGUUCUACCCUGUGUAGUGGGGGCGUUUUCUCUCUAAGGACAGCGCCUAGCGUGCUUCAACCCAGGCUUCAUCUAAACCCUUUCUCUUAUUAUUUUAUUGUUGUUUUGUUAAUGUAUUGAAUCAUAUUGUGUUUAAUCAAUAUCAGUAUGUAAUUCCCCUUUGAAUAUACAUUUGAUGUCUUUCAACGUUUGUUGUUGUAUAUUUAAUUUUCACACUCAUAAUUAUUUUCUAACAAAAGGGGUUAAAGGUUACUGGGUGUAUAUGAAAGGAUGAAAAUGGAGGGUGCUGCCAUAUGGUAUUUACGAGGUUUGCAAAGUGAGCUUUCUUUCCUCUUCCCCUUUCUAAUUGUGAUAUGAUUCUGUUUUUGGUUGUAUAUUAAGGGGUUUCUUUUCAUCUUCCUCUCUUCUGUACAUGGUUCCUGCUAUUGCUGGUUCAUGAUGGGUUUGGCUUGGUUGAGGUCGCAGGGAAAGGGGUUCAAAAGGGUUUAAUUUUAUUUUUUAAAUUAAUUGAUAUUAUUUAUUUUAUUUAUUUACUGAUGUGUCAUACAUGGUGGUGUAAUUAGUAAAAAGGAAUCAAAGUAAGAAUAUUCUGUUUAAAAUUGGAUGGCAACUAACGACAAGACCCAAUUGUCACAAAUCGAUCUUUGGUGGACCAAAAUCGCUCCUUUUAAACAAAGGGGAUUCAAAUUGCACAAAGGUCAAACAUCAGGGACCAAAAGUGCAAUUAAGCCUUUUAAAUACCAAUAAGAGCCUUGGAAACAAAGUCUCCCAAGUGAGCAAAGUUGAAGCCAGAAACAGGAAGAAGAACAAAAAGGAUAAAAGGAUAACAAGACAUAAAUAAAAAUAGAACAAAUUAAGUAGCUGCUAACAGAGAACACAGAGGCUUGAGACCCAAAAUCCACAGGAAGGCAAGCUACCAGGGCAAAGACAGAAUGCGAGCAGAAUACAGAGGCACCUUACAGAAUACAGAGGCACCUCUUCCAAACACAGCCAACAGCAGCAAAAACUUCUGACAGAAAUAGCUUGCCUACUAAGCUUCAUCGCAGCACAUAAUCACCAGCAAAAAACUUAAUAAAUCAAGAGAGCAGGGACCAAAUGGGAGAGGCCCUAUUACAACCUGAUUUGGCCAAAUAAUUUGCUAGAGGGUUAGAUUCUCUAUAAAUGUGAUUUACAUCAAUGCAAUCAACCUCAGCCAUAAGUGCACCAAUUAAGUUCAAAUCAUUUAAUAAGAUCCCAUAGAACUUGAUCUGAUCUAACCCGUAGUUCUGUUAGAGAGCUUAACUUGUACAGGGUUUCUAUACGACUAUACCCUUCAUUGUGCUGAUUAACAAUCAAUAAUGAGAAUUACCCUUCAGGGUUUCUAUACCUGAAGAAGCAGACGCUUAGUUCAGGUAUACUUAGAUGAUUGAUUUCCCUGAACUAUAGAUGCCUAUAUGGGUUCUAAAUAGGCAUCCAUAUAUCAUGCAGUUGAGUUCUCUUUUAAGUCUCUUUUUAACUCAUGAAAUUAAACAAUAAAUCGGAAUUGUUUGUGUUGCUUUUUGCUCUUCUACUUCUACUUGGUCUUCCAUCUUCCAACUUAAGCCAUACCACUUGCAAAUGAGUGACUGUAACAAGCUCUAAAUUAAACUGUUUCCUUCAUGAGAAAUUUUCCUUCAAACAUUACAGUUUUCUUCUGAAUUUUUUAGUGUUCCUGUGAAAUUAACGUGACGUGCAUAAAUUGUUACUGGGGUUGUCUCCAAUGUGGUUGCUAGCUGCUCUGCUUAGGUGACUAUGGUCCCAAAAAUCCACAUCCAAACCAGGAUUUCUAUUCAGAGGGAAACAAACUCAUUUGGAGUUAGAAUUAGCACAAGGGGGGGAACUAGGAAAGGGAGGGGAACUGGGAAAUCGUCUUCAAGCUUCAGCUUGCAGCAAACACUUGACUGCCUAUGCUUUUGAUAAUUGGAAGGGUAGAGUGGACCACUUUGUCUUCGAAGCGAUGCUCGUAUAAAAAUGUAAAUUAUCAUAUGGAGUCACUUACUUAUAAAAUGAUCUAUGAUUUUUGAGCAAUUACUAUACAAUGUUUCUGAUUUUUAGUAUUAGUUGCUUUUGCCUACAAACACAAAUGCAUAGU
Molecule: long non-coding RNA, 2344 nt
Organism: Lotus japonicus
Lineage: Eukaryota; Viridiplantae; Streptophyta; Magnoliopsida; Fabales; Fabaceae
Exons: 3
Source: RefSeq, a predicted model, not a curated record